GUAACAGGAGGAAAAGAAAGUAAAAACGAUUUUCUAAGUAGCGGCGAGCGAACGGGAAAGAGCCUAAACCAUAGUAGUGCCAAGAGGGUAUCGUUGCUAUUAUGGGGUAGAGGGUAUAUAUUAGUCAAUUACCAUAAGACAGUAUGAGUAUACUACGAAGCAGAACAUAACUGGAAAGUUAGACCAAAGAAGGUGAUAGUCCUGUAGGGCGUAAAUAGUAUAUGAGUAUAUAUAUAACCCGAGUAGCAUCAAGCACGAGGAAUUUGGUGUGAAUCAGUGUGGACCAUAUCACAUAAGGCUAAAUACUUUUACUAAGCGAUAGUGGAGAGUACCGUGAGGGAAAGGUGAAAAGAACCCUGAGUAAGGGAGUGAAAUAGAAUUUGAAACCGUACGCUUACAAGCGGUAGGAGCCCUAAGGGGUGACUGCGUGGAUUUUGGUUAAUCAUCCUGCGAGUUAUGAUAUAUGGCGAGGUUAAGUAAAGCGGAGCCGAAGGGAAACCGAGUCUUAAAAGGGCGAUAGUCGUAUGUUAUAGACGCGAAACCUAGUGAUCUAUGCCUGACCAAGUUGAAGCAAAGGUAAGACUUUGUGGAGGACUGAACUCACCGCCGUUGAAAUGAUGGGAGAUGAGUUAGGUAUAGGGGUGAAAAGCCAAUCGAACUAGGAGAUAGCUCGUUCUCUCCGAAAUGCAUUUAGGUGCAGCCUUAAUAGAAGAUAUGUGGGGGUAGAGCACUGUUUGACCUAGCGGGCGUAUAGCUUAGUGAAGUCAUGCAAACUACGAAUACCAUAUAUUAAUAAUUAGGAGUGAGACUAUGGAUGAUAAGGUCCAUGGUCGAGAGGGGAAAAGCCCAGACCAACAGCUAAGGUCCCAAAUUAUGUCUAAGUGGGAAAGGAGGUGGAUAUUCAGAAACAACCAGGAGGUUGGCUUAGAAGCAGCCAUACCUUGAAAGAGUGCGUAACAGCUCACUGGUCGAGAGUAUCUGCGCCGAAGAUUUAACGGGGCUAAGACAUAAACCGAAGCUUUGGAACAUAUGUAAAUAUGUUGGUAGGAGAGCGUUCUGUAAGCUGUAGAAGGAGAGUUGAAAGACGAUCUGGAGGUAUCAGAAGUGAGAAUGCAGGAAUGAGUAGCGAGAAAGUAUGUGAGAAUCAUACUGGCCGGAAGUCCAAGGAUUCCACGGCAAUGUUUGUCAGCCGUGGGGGAGUCGGGACCUAAGUGAAGACAGGGAUGUCAUAGCGAAUGGAAAAUAGGUUAAUAUUCCUAUACCACUAAAUCAACGAUUGAAGGGAUGGAGUGACGCAGGAAGGUAUGUGAGAUAACUGACGGAAUAGUUAUUCUAAGCCAAUAGCGUGAUUAUAUAGGCAAAUCCGUAUAAUUAAACGUGAAAGGUGAUGGGUAAGCACAAUAAGUGUAAGUCACAGAUCCUACACUGCCGAGAAAAACUUCUACUGAGGAGAUUAAGUGCCCGUACCGUAAACCGACACAGGUGGACAGGGUGAGAAACCUAAGGCCGACAGGAUAACUCUAGCUAAGGAACUCUGCAAAAUAGCCCCGUAACUUCGGGAGAAGGGGUGCCUAUGGUAAGUGAGAAGAUAAGUACUUCGAAGCUGAGAUAGGCCGCAGUGAAGAGUCCCAAGCAACUGUUUACCAAAAACACAGGUCUAUGCUAAGCCGGAAGGCGACGUAUAUGGGCUGACACCUGCCCAGUGCCGGAAGGUUAAGAGGAGGAUUGAGAGAUUCGAAUUGAAGCCCCGGUGAACGGCGGCC
This 1763-nucleotide ribosomal RNA is filed under the name Leptotrichia sp. RNAcentral describes it as "bacterial LSU rRNA". It matches the Rfam family "Bacterial large subunit ribosomal RNA", at positions 206 to 1935 of the family's 2925-position model. Lineage: Bacteria; Fusobacteriati; Fusobacteriota; Fusobacteriia; Fusobacteriales; Leptotrichiaceae. RNAcentral also lists the same sequence under 1 other name. The record is from RNAcentral.